This 2843-nucleotide ribosomal RNA is filed under the name Chloroflexota bacterium. RNAcentral's name for it is "Chloroflexi bacterium 23S ribosomal RNA". It matches the Rfam family "Bacterial large subunit ribosomal RNA". Lineage: Bacteria; Bacillati; Chloroflexota. The record is from RNAcentral.
GAGAAAGCGACUAAGGGCGUACAGGGGAUGCCUUGGCGUCAAGUGCCGAAGAAGGGCGUGGUACACUGCGAUAAGCUCCGGUCAGGCGUGUGCAGCCGUGAACAGCCGGAGAUUUCCGAAUGGGGAAACCCGGCGGGGGUGAUACCCCGUCAUCCUGCCAAGCAGGAGGGGAACUGGGUGAACUGAAACAUCUUAGUAACCCGAGGAAAAGAAACGAUUCUGCGAGUAGUGGCGAGCGAAAGCGGAACAGCCCAAACCGCACUUCGGUGCGGGGUUGUAGGACUCGAGCGCGCGUGGCAAAGGCGAAGUAGAAGGCGUUGGGAAACGCCGCCAGAGAGGGUGAGAGCCCCGUAUACGGAAGCCGGCGCCAGGCACGAGGAUCCUGAGUAGCGCGGGGCACGCUAACCCUGCGUGAAGCUGGGUGGCCCACCACCCAAGGCUAAAUACACUUGACGACCGAUAGCGGACCAGUACCGUGAGGGAAAGGUGAAAAGAACCCCGGCGAGGGGAGUGAAAUAGAAUCUGAAACUGUACGCUUACAACCGGUCGGAGGGCGGUACAUGGUACUGCCUGACGGCGUGCCUUUUGGAGAAUGAGCCUGCGAGUUUAUCUCUGUGGUGAGCUUAAGGGAGUGACACCCGGAGGCGUAGCGAAAGCGAGUCUGAAUAGGGCGAGCAAUCGCAGGGAUAAGACACGAAACCUGGCGAGCUAACCAUGGGCAGGGCGAAAAUGCGGUAAUGCGCAUGGGAGGCCCGAACCCACUGAUGCUGCAAAAUCAGGGGAUGACCUGUGGUUAGGGGUGAUAUGCCAAACGAGCCAGGAGAUAGCUUGUUCUCCCCGAAAUAGCUUUAGGGCUAGCGUUGCGUGAUGAGUGCCGGAGGUAGAGCACUGGAUGGGCUAGGGGCCGUCAGGUUACCGAACCCAACCAAACUCCGAAUGCCGGUGACUUUAGCGCGGCAGUCGGACGGCGGGAGAUGAGUUUCGUCGUCAAAAGGGAAAGAGCCCAGACCCACGGCUAAGGUCCUCAAGUCCAUGCUGAGUGGCAAACGAUGUGAUUGUGUUCGGACAGCCAGGAGGUUGGCCUAGUAGCAGCCACCCUUUAAAGAGUGCGUAACAGCUCACUGGUCAAACGCAGUUGCGCGGAUAAUGUAACGGGGCUAAGCAUGGCACCGAAGCCAGGGAGCCGCGGAUCCUACGGGAGAAGCGGUUGGUAGGGGAGCGUUCUGCGGGCAGAGAAGGCGGCCUGAAAGGGGCGUUGGAGCGCGCAGAAGUGCGAAUGCAGGCAUGAGUAGCGAGAAACGUGUGAGAACCACGUUCGCCGAAAAUCUAAGGUUUCCGACGGAAGGUCAGUCCGCGUCGGGUUAGUCGGCCCUAAGCCGAGGCCGAAAGGCGUAGGCGAUGGAUGACAGGUCAAUAUUCCUGUACCGGUGAAGGGAGCGUUGUGGAUGCGCGUUGGGAAGGAUCAGCCACUGAGUGGAUUGUGGUGGCAAGCGGGUAACACCCGUGAUGCCGGGGCCUAGCCCAGAAGUGAUCGGCACCUAGCGCCGAGAAAAGUCCACAAUGCGUUGAAGCUCAUCGACCGUACCACAAACCGACACAGGUAGAUGGGUAGAGAAUACCAAGGCGAACGGGAGAACCCUCGUUAAGGAACUAGGCAAAAUGGCCCCGUAACUUCGGGAGAAGGGGCGCCAGCGCAAGCUGGCCGCAGUGAAAUGGCUUCGUCGACUGUUUACCAAAAACACAGGUCUCUGCUAACGCGAAAGCGGAUGUAUAGGGGCUGACGCCUGCCCAGUGCCGGAAGGUUAAGAGGAGGGGUGCAAGCUCUGAAUUGAAGCCCCGGUGAACGGCGGCCGUAACUAUAACGGUCCUAAGGUAGCGAAAUUCCUUGUCGGGUAAGUUCCGACCCGCACGAAAGGCGUAACGAGCGAAGCACUGUCUCAACGAGGGACCCGGCGAAAUUGAAGUGUGCGUAAAGAUGCGUACUACCCGCAGCAGGACAAAAAGACCCCGUGGAGCUUUACUGCAGCUUGUCAUUGCGUUAGGGCGCAAUUUGUGUAGGAUAGCUGGGAGACUGUGAAGCCUGGUCGUCAGAUUGGGUGGAGUCAAUGGUGAAAUACCAGCCUGGUUGUGCUUUGGCCCUAACCGUUGCCAUUGAUCAUGGCGCGGGACCGUGGCAGGUGGGCAGUUUGACUGGGGCGGUCGCCUCCUAAAAGGUAGCGGAGGCGCCCAAAGGUUGGCUCAGAUGGAAUGGAAACCCAUCGCAGAGUGUAAAGGCACAAGCCAGCUUGACUGUCAGGGAGACAACCCGAGCAGAGACGAAAGUCGGGCUUAGUGAUCCUACGGUUCGGAGUGGAACGGCCGUAGCUUAACGGAUAAAAGCUACCCCGGGGAUAACAGGCUAGUCUUGUCCAAGAGUUCACAUCGACGACAAGGCUCGGCACCUCGAUGUCGGCUCAUCGCAUCCUGGGGCUGGAUAAGGUCCCAAGGGUUGGGCUGUUCGCCCAUUAAAGCGGUACGUGAGCUGGGUUCAGACCGUUGUGAAACAGGUCGGUCUCUAUCCGCUGUGGGCGUUGGGAAUUUGCAGGGUGCUGCCCCUAGUACGAGAGGACCGGGGCGGACGCAGCGCUCGUGUACCGGUUGUCGCGCCAGCGGCAUCGCCGGGUAGCGAUCUGCGGUCGGGAUAACCGCUGAAAGCAUCUAAGUGGGAAGCCCACCUUAAGAUAAGAUUCCCCAUCCCCUUUGAGGGAGUAAGGCCGCUGGGAGACUACCAGCUGGAUAGGCGGGCGGUGGAAGCGCAGUAAUGUGUGUAGCCUACCCGUACUAAUGGCCGAGGGCUUUCUCUU